GAUCAUGGCUCAGGAUGAACGCUAGCUACAGGCUUAACACAUGCAAGUCGAGGGGAAACGACAUCGAAAGCUUGCUUUUGAUGGGCGUCGACCGGCGCACGGGUGAGUAACGCGUAUCCAACCUGCCCACCACUUGGGGAUAACCUUGUGAAAGUAAGACUAAUACCCAAUGACGUCUCUAGAAGACAUCUGAAAGAGAUUAAAGAUUUAUCGGUGAUGGAUGGGGAUGCGUCUGAUUAGCUUGUUGGCGGGGUAACGGCCCACCAAGGCGACGAUCAGUAGGGGUUCUGAGAGGAAGGUCCCCCACAUUGGAACUGAGACACGGUCCAAACUCCUACGGGAGGCAGCAGUGAGGAAUAUUGGUCAAUGGGCGAGAGCCUGAACCAGCCAAGUAGCGUGCAGGAUGACGGCCCUAUGGGUUGUAAACUGCUUUUAUAAGGGAAUAAAGUGAGCCUCGUGAGGCUUUUUGCAUGUACCUUAUGAAUAAGGACCGGCUAAUUCCGUG
This 505-nucleotide ribosomal RNA is filed under the name uncultured bacterium. RNAcentral's name for it is "bacterial SSU rRNA". It matches the Rfam family "Bacterial small subunit ribosomal RNA", at positions 15 to 507 of the family's 1533-position model. The record is from RNAcentral.